GCUGACGAGAAAAACCUCGUAGGGAGUCAUUUGGACAACCGUACCGCAAACCGACACUGGUAGGUGGGUAGAAGAUACCAAGGCGUUCGAGAGAACCCUCGCUAAGGAACUCGGCAAAAUAACCCCGUAACUUCGGGAGAAGGGGUCCCACCGCAAGGUGGGCGCAUUGAAGAGGCCCAGGCGACUGUUUACCAAAAACACAGGACUCUGCAAACUCGCAAGAGGAAGUAUAGGGUCUGACGCCUGCCCGGUGCCGGAAGGUUAACAGGAGGGGUUAGCUCGCAAGGGCGAAGCUCUGAAUCGAAGCCCCGGUAAACGGCGGCCGUAACGAUAACGGUCCUAAGGUAGCGAAAUUCCUUGUCGGGUAAGCUCCGACCUGCACGAAUGGCGUAACGAUCUGGGCGCUGUCUCGGCGAGGGGCUCGGCGAACUUGAGAUACCGGUGAAGACGCCGGUUACCUGCAACUAGACGGAAAGACCCUGUGCACCUUUACUAUAGCUUGACAGUGAGUUUUGGUGAUACAUGUGUAGGAUAGGUGGGAGGCUAUGAGACGUGGACGCUAGUUUGCGUGGAGCCGACCUUGAAAUACCACCCUUGUCUUACUGGGACUCUAACUUAUUCCCGUAAUCCGGGAAGAGGACACUGUCUGGUGGGUAGUUUGACUGGGGCGGUCGCCUCCCAAAGAGUAACGGAGGCGUCCAAAGGUUCCCUCAGGCUGGACGGAAACCAGCCAUCGAGUGCAAAGGCAUAAGGGAGCUUGACUGUGAGACAAACGAGUCGAGCAGGUACGAAAGUAGGGCUUAGUGAUCCGGUGGCGCUGUAUGGAAAGGCCAUCGCUCAACGGAUAAAAGGUACGCCGGGGAUAACAGGCUUAUCGCGUCCAAGAGUUCACAUCGACGACGCGGUUUGGCACCUCGAUGUCGACUCAUCGCAUCCUGGGGCUGAAGUAGGUCCCAAGGGUUCGGCUGUUCGCCGAUUAAAGCGGUACGAGAGUUGGGUUCAGAACGUCGUGAGACAGUUCGGUCCCUAUCUGUUGCAGGCGCAGGAGAUUUGAGGGGAUCUGUCCUUAGUACGAGAGGACCGGGAUGGACGGACCUCUAGUGUUCCGGUUGUCAUGCCAAUGGCAAUGCCGGGUAGCUAUGUCCGGAAGGGAUAACCGCUGAAGGCAUCUAAGCGGGAAGCCUACCCCAAGAUUAGAUCUCACGGGGAGUAAUCCCCCUAAAGGCCCGUGGUAGACUACCACGUCGAUAGGCUGGAGGUGUAAGCGCAGUAAUGUGUUCAGCUGACCAGUACUAAUAGGCCGUGUGGCUUGACC
Molecule: ribosomal RNA, 1315 nt
Filed under: metagenome
Description: bacterial LSU rRNA
Rfam family: Bacterial large subunit ribosomal RNA
Source: RNAcentral